Molecule: ribosomal RNA, 504 nt
Filed under: uncultured bacterium
Lineage: Bacteria
Description: partial 16S ribosomal RNA
Rfam family: Bacterial small subunit ribosomal RNA
Source: RNAcentral
ACUCAAAUGAAUUGACGGGGGCUCACACAAGCGGUGGAGGAUGUGGCUUAAUUCGAGGCUACGCGAAGAACCUUAUCCUAGUCUUGACAUGCACGGAUUAACUCGGUGAAAGCCGAGCCACGCCUUCGGGUGGAACGUGCACAGGUGCUGCAUGGCUGUCGUCAGCUCGUGUCGUGAGAUGUCGGGUUAAGUCCCUUAACGAGCGAAACCCUUGUCUCUAGUUGCCAGCGCGUUAUGGCGGGGACUCUAGAGAGACCGCCGGCGUUAAGCCGGAGGAAGGUGGGGAUGACGUCAAGUCCUCAUGGCCUUUAUGACUAGGGCUGCACACGUCCUACAAUGCUGCGCACAAAGGGAAGCAAAAUCGCAAGAUCCAGCAAAUCCCAAAAAACGCAGCUCAGUUCGGAUUGCAGGCUGCAACUCGCCUGCAUGAAGCCGGAAUCGCUAGUAAUCGUAGGUCAGCAUACUACGGUGAAUAUGUUCCUGAGCCUUGUACACACCGCCCGU